Molecule: ribosomal RNA, 466 nt
Filed under: uncultured bacterium
Lineage: Bacteria
Description: partial 16S ribosomal RNA
Rfam family: Bacterial small subunit ribosomal RNA
Source: RNAcentral
CGAACGCUGGCGGCGUGCUUAACACAUGCAAGUCGAACGGGAAGGCCCUGCUUUUGUGGGGUGCUCGAGUGGCGAACGGGUGAGUAACACGUGAGUAACCUGCCCUUGACUUUGGGAUAACUUCAGGAAACUGGGGCUAAUACCGGAUAGGAGCUCCUGCUGCAUGGUGGGGGUUGGAAAGUUUCGGCGGUUGGGGAUGGACUCGCGGCUUAUCAGCUUGUUGGUGGGGUAGUGGCUUACCAAGGCUUUGACGGGUAGCCGGCCUGAGAGGGUGACCGGCCACAUUGGGACUGAGAUACGGCCCAGACUCCUACGGGAGGCAGCAGUGGGGAAUAUUGCACAAUGGGCGGAAGCCUGAUGCAGCAACGCCGCGUGCGGGAUGACGGCCUUCGGGUUGUAAACCGCUUUCGCCUGUGACGAAGCGUGAGUGACGGUAAUGGGUAAAGAAGCACCGGCUAACUACGUG